UAUCGGUAUGGGAUGGGGUCGCGUCCUAUCAGCUUGAUGGCGGGGUAACGGCCCACCAUGGCUUCGACGGGUAGCCGGCCUGAGAGGGCGACCGGCCACAUUGGGACUGAGAUACGGCCCAGACUCCUACGGGAGGCAGCAGUGGGGAAUAUUGCACAAUGGGCGCAAGCCUGAUGCAGCGACGCCGCGUGCGGGAUGACGGCCUUCGGGUUGUAAACCGCUUUUGACUGGGAGCAAGCCCUUCGGGGUGAGUGUACCUUUCGAAUAAGCACCGGCUAACUACGUGCCAGCAGCCGCGGUAAUACGUAGGGUGCAAGCGUUAUCCGGAAUUAUUGGGCGUAAAGGGCCCGUAGGCGGUUCGUCGCGUCCGGUGUGAAAGUCCAUCGCUUAACGGUGGAUCCGCGCCGGGUACGGGCGGG
This 419-nucleotide ribosomal RNA is filed under the name uncultured Bifidobacterium sp. RNAcentral describes it as "bacterial SSU rRNA". It matches the Rfam family "Bacterial small subunit ribosomal RNA", at positions 213 to 640 of the family's 1533-position model. The record is from RNAcentral. Lineage: Bacteria; Bacillati; Actinomycetota; Actinomycetes; Bifidobacteriales; Bifidobacteriaceae.